GAUGAAGAACGUAGCGAAACGCGAUAGGUAAUGUGAAUUGCAGAAUUCCGUGAAUCAUCGAAUCUUUGAACGCACAUUGCGCCCUGUGGUAUUCCGCAGGGCAUGCCUGUUCGAGCGUCAUUGACACCCUCAAGCUCUGCUUGGUCUUGGGCGUUUGUGCCUGCCGUUGCGCAGGGACUCGCCUCAAACUCAUUGGCAGCCUGCCUUUGCCGGUCUUUGCACAGCACAGUCGUGCCAAAGCCGCGGUGAGCAGGCGCUCCACAAGCCCUUUUCAGCUUGACCUCGGAUCAGGUAGGAAUACCCGCUGAACUUAAGCAUAUCAAUAAGCGGAGGA
Molecule: unclassified non-coding RNA, 334 nt
Filed under: soil metagenome
Description: partial contains 5.8S ribosomal RNA, internal transcribed spacer 2, and large subunit ribosomal RNA
Rfam family: 5.8S ribosomal RNA (bases 1-120)
Source: RNAcentral